This 305-nucleotide ribosomal RNA is filed under the name uncultured bacterium. Its description in RNAcentral is "bacterial SSU rRNA". It matches the Rfam family "Bacterial small subunit ribosomal RNA", at positions 337 to 634 of the family's 1533-position model. The record is from RNAcentral.
ACCUACGGGGGGCAGCAGUAGGGAAUCUUCCACAAUGGGCGAAAGCCUGAUGGAGCAACGCCGCGUGGGUGAAGAAGGUCUUCGGAUCGUAAAACCCUUUUGUUAGAGAAGAAAGUGCGUGAGAGUAACCGUUCACGUUUCGACGGUAUCUAACCAGAAAGCCACGGCUAACUACGUGCCAGCAGCCGCCGUAAUACGUAGGUGGCAAGCGUUAUCCGGAUUUAUUGGGCGUAAAGGGAACGCGGGCGGUCUUUUAAGUCUGAUGUGAAAGCCUUCGGCUUAACCGGAGUAGUGCAUUGGAAACU